GUUUUAGGCGAAAUUGGUGAAUGAGGAUAACAAAGAAAAGAUCUCUGUUACAGACAACCAUGUGGACAGAAGAACCUGCUCUCCAACAAUUUUAGGAGAUGAUGGGAUGAUCUCUGGCCCUGGCUGUAGGGCUAGAGGAAGGAGUUUGCAGACAUUAAAUGCUGCAGAAGUGUUGCAUGGAGCCACUGCUGAGAAUAUGACACCAGCUUAUGCAGGAGGAGAACUAAGUAUAACAGCCUCUUAUUUUUUUCCAUUUGCCGACAUUUACAAAAGUGACAUUGCCAAUACUCAGGAAAUUUUGGUUCAAAACCACAAGACAAAUGGCAUCCAUGGAACUAUAGUCAAAGAAUUAGAGUGGCAGCUAGUAUUGAAAAGAAGAAUGAAGAGGUUUGAAUCUAAUAGAUUCAGUCUCUCCUUUUAGAAGGGCCUCAAUGUCAAGUGAGCAGGUUCCAAGUCUCAGUUAGGUUUGGUCCAACUAUUUCAGAACUACUGAACUCUCUAAAAAGUACCCUACAUCCUGGUCAAUUGGCCAUGUAGUGCCACUUCAUGCCCAGUAACUCCAGGAAACACUAGGUUUGGCUUGGGAAUAAAUACAAUAAAGGGAAGGGAGGCAAAGCAUGUUACUCCUGCCAAAUUUACUGACAAUACCCAGUUUGACAAUAGAUGGAAUCAGGUUUUUAGGCACAAGUACAUUUCAUCAUUCUGGUUACGAGAAAAUGGGCAUGAUGAAACUGUGUACAAACUCACUUCAAAUGUACAUAUACCUAAGAGGGGUUGCACCCAUGACUUUUGCUACUGUGGUCUACCUGAAGAUGGUGCAGAAGUGUAUUUUUUGCUCCCAGCACUUUCAAAAAUUAGUUUCAGACUGUGUUCUUCAAGGGAAAACCAUACUUGAAGCCAAAGAAGCAAUAAAAUAGCUUAAAGGUGGCCUGUAAUGUAACAGUUUCCUAGAAUUUGCAAACUACAGACAAAAAUAUAACUAUUUUAUUGUUAUGAUGACGUAGUUAAUGUAUGGCCAUUUAUUAGAUACUCAUAGUAAACCCCAACAAACUAUGUUACAAGGAAAACAAAUUAUAAAUGUAGAUUGUGAACACCUGUGUGAUAAUUUUUCAAAUGUUUGCAGAUCAACCACCAAAAUCAGAGCAAAUAAAGGACAUAUGUUUGGAGUAUUGAAAGAAAAAGUAAUUUUGUCUAAAUUCUCAAUAAUCAAAAUGAUUUCCACAGUCUCUAAUUUAUAUCAGGACUGUGGUCUAGUGGCGCCCAGCGGACCCUGGCACCUUACUUUUACUCUUGGGCGACUCAAGAAUCUUAGUUUGUUCAUAAAAUGCAUAUGCUGGGCACCCUGGAUUUCACAGUUUCAGAGCACUGGGCUCCAUUCGAUUUUUCUUAGAGCACAGCCAUGAUAGAUAUAUACUAUUAUGAGUGACUCAAGUGGAAGCAAAUUACCAGUAGUGCAUUAAAUAUCUAAAUGAAAAGUUUAUAGUAAUAUAUAUAUAUAUAUAGAUAAUAUUAUAGAUAUAUUCAGGGACUACAAAGAUAAUUUACUAUUUUCAUUUUUUCGUUAAUAUACAGUAGUGCAUUGAAUAUCAAUACAAAGAGUUUUACAGGAAUAAUCUCUGAUCAUAUUAUAGAUAUAUUCAGAGAUAACAAAAAUAAUUUACUUUCUCAAUAUUUCAUUACCAUACAAAACAUUGCAUGCUGUAUGUGUUGCCAUCAAACAUUAUUAUUGUCUUAAAUGUUACAAUUACAACAGUUGAUCACAAAAUUUUUAAAAGAUAUAUGUAUACAAUUGUCUCUGAGUUCCCCUCAAAAGAGGACACACAAAUUUUGAGUUGAAUAUCAAAAAUAAUUGUAGCAAUGGGUACUUUGAAAAUGAAAAAUAAAAAAAAAAACAUGCUGCAGAUGAAAACAAGUAUAUUAAAAGUAUUGGACUAAAAGGAGUGAUUGUAGGUAGUGUUCAUUUCACACAUGCUGGGGCCAGUCAUGCUCAUUCCAGUAGCCAUAAUGCACUUAUCAAUUGAAAUCUGACCCCCCCCCCCCCCACCCCUGGCCAAGGUGGGAGAAUGUGGAGGAUUUUUAUAGUUUGUCCGUGGGGGUGGGGGAUUUCUCAGGAUUUGCUAUACACAUUACACGAGGUCAGGGAGAGGUGGGGAUUGGACUCGUGCCUAGUCUUAUCACGGUAAUUUGACUUCACGUGGUCACUGGAGUCGCUUGCUGGAUUUCGAUGAGCUGUGCUUUGCAGUUUUGUUUAGGCAUCCCAGAUUUGAAAUGUAAGUUUCAUGAUUAUUUUUCCUUUUAUUUCAUCAUUUAGAUUAAUCCUUUGGGAUUUUGCCUUGAGCUUUCAUAGUUCAUUGGCUGGAAAAUCUUACUGUUUUUUAAUCAAAGCUUCUCACACGAUGCAGAUACACGCUCUUCCACUUCUAGAGUUUAUUAAAACCAUGUGGUUUCUUAAGUGCUAGAUUUCCUCAUUCUUUAGGGUAAUAUAGCUCCUAGGAACUAUUUUAUAUUGUCUAUUUUAAUAUAACAUCAAUUUCCCCAUGUUUUGUCUUGCUACACA
This 2557-nucleotide long non-coding RNA is filed under the name Stylophora pistillata. RNAcentral describes it as "uncharacterized LOC111341949". Lineage: Eukaryota; Metazoa; Cnidaria; Anthozoa; Scleractinia; Pocilloporidae. The record is from RNAcentral.